GCUGAAAGUGUGUCCCAACUAUUUGCAGUUCUGCAGCACAUCCAUCAAAUAUUCCAUGCAGUUUGGAAUCUGUCAGUUCUUCACUGCUCUUGGUAUAGUUCCACAGGUGGCAACAAUGCAAUUCUCAUGAUGGUCUUUUUCCUCUCACAUCGUGAACGUUGGGACCAUUUGAUCGUGCUUAAAGUGCAAGCUGUGAAUUCUGAAUGGAGCCUAAGUGUCACUCCAAACAGAACUGAAAGUGUUCUCAUCAGCACAAAGCCCAAGAGAAUGCAAUCAGCAUCAACAAUUACAAGAGGGAUUCCUUUAUCAGACGGACGGUGCCUGUGAGGUUGUAUGAGCAAUGACCAGAGGUUUUAGACCAUGCCUCAUUAAUAUUCAUUCUCACUGCUUCACAUAAUUAGACCAGCAUACUGAAUUACACACAUUGAAAUAUUUCAGCC
Long non-coding RNA from Rhincodon typus (whale shark), 440 nucleotides. RefSeq lists it as uncharacterized. The record is from RefSeq and is a predicted model, not a curated record. Lineage: Eukaryota; Metazoa; Chordata; Chondrichthyes; Orectolobiformes; Rhincodontidae. The transcript is spliced from 3 exons.